RNAcentral lists this long non-coding RNA (420 nucleotides) under Salvia miltiorrhiza (redroot sage). Its description in RNAcentral is "long non-coding RNA (SMIL_LNC001730)". The record is from RNAcentral. Lineage: Eukaryota; Viridiplantae; Streptophyta; Magnoliopsida; Lamiales; Lamiaceae.
GGAAAACAAUGCAACACAAUCAAAUGCCUAAAGCCUUCCCCGGCAACGGCGCCAAAAUUUGACUCAACCCAAAACACCUAAUGGAUUGACUCGCAAUCGUACGAGGUCGUCCUAGUGUAAUAAGCUAACCCAAGUCGUCUCUCAAGGAAGGCUAAACAGGGCUUUGAUCAUGCUACGCACAGAAAACAAGAAAUAAACCUAAACACUCUAAUCAGGUAAUUGGGUCUGUCACUAACUCGCUCUCUAAUCACCAAGGCAUAAACAGAAAGGAACAAUAAACAUUAACUAAGGUAGAAAACAUAUAAGGACUAAAACAUGACAUUUGAACAUUAAUGAAAUCAACUAGAGUUUCAAACUCAAACACUAAACCAAACAAUCAUAAACUCAUAAACAUCAAAGAUUAAUUACUACCUAGGCAAU